RNAcentral lists this small RNA (34 nucleotides) under Mesodinium pulex. Its description in RNAcentral is "partial Mitochondrion-encoded tmRNA". Lineage: Eukaryota; Ciliophora; Litostomatea; Cyclotrichida; Mesodiniidae. The record is from RNAcentral.
CCCGAAGGCGGGUUUUCGUUAUUUCCAUAUCUAU